Microtus ochrogaster (prairie vole) is the source of this 107-nucleotide small nuclear RNA. The record is from Ensembl. NCBI's taxonomy places the organism in Eukaryota, Metazoa, Chordata, Mammalia, Rodentia, Cricetidae.
AUGCUCACUUUGGCAGCACAUAUACUAAAACUGGAACAAUACAGAGAAGACUAGCAUGGUUCCUGCAUAAGGAUGAUAUGCAAAUUCAUGAAGUAUUUAAUAUUUUU